RNAcentral lists this ribosomal RNA (331 nucleotides) under uncultured eukaryote. RNAcentral's name for it is "partial 18S ribosomal RNA". It matches the Rfam family "Eukaryotic small subunit ribosomal RNA", at positions 1470 to 1796 of the family's 1831-position model. The record is from RNAcentral.
CCCUUAGAUGUUCUGGGCCGCACGCGCGCUACACUGACGAAGUCAGCGAGCAUGUCCUACGCCGACAGGUGCGGGGAAUCUUGUCAAACUUCGUCGUGAUGGGGAUUGAUUAUUGAAAUUCUUGAUCAUCAACGAGGAAUUCCUAGUAAGCGCAAGUCAGCAGCUUGCGUUGAUUACGUCCCUGCCCUUUGUACCCACCGCCCGUCGCUACUACCGAUUGAAUGGUUUAGUGAGAUCUUCGGAUUGGCGCCACUGCGGCUCAGCAAUGGGCUCGGUGGAUGCCGAAAAGUUGAUCAAACUUGAUCAUUUAGAGGAAGUAAAAGUCGUAACA